CCUACGUGCGGCAGCAGUGAGGAAUAUUGGUCAAUGGGCGCGAGCCUGAACCAGCCAAGUAGCGUGAAGGAUGACUGCCCUACGGGUUGUAAACUUCUUUUAUAAAGGAAUAAAGUGAGGCACGUGUGCCUUUUUGUAUGUACUUUAUGAAUAAUGAUCGGCUAACUCCGUGCCAGCAGCCGCGGUAAUACGGAGGAUCCGGGCGUUAUCCGGAUUUAUUGGGUUUAAAGGUAGCGUAGAUGGGUUGUUAAGUCAGUUGUGAAAGUUUUCGGAUCAACCGUAAAAUUGCAAUUGAUACUGGCAGUCUUGAGUACAGUUGAGGUAGGCGGAAUUCGUGGUGUAGCGGUGAAAUGCUUAGAUAUCACGAAGAACUCCGAUUGCGAAGGCAGCUUACUAAACUGCCACUGACAUUGAUGCUCGAAAGUGUGGGUAUCAAACAGGAUUAGAUACCCCGGUAGUC
Molecule: ribosomal RNA, 460 nt
Filed under: uncultured bacterium
Lineage: Bacteria
Description: partial 16S ribosomal RNA
Rfam family: Bacterial small subunit ribosomal RNA
Source: RNAcentral